UAGGGAAUAUUGGACAAUGGGGGCAACCCUGAUCCAGCCAUGCCGCGUGAGUGAAGAAGGCCCUCGGGUUGUAAAGCUCUUUUGUCCGGAAAGAAAAGCUUCGGGUUAAUACCCCGGGGUUCUGACGGUACCGGAAGAAUAAGCACCGGCUAACUUCGUGCCAGCAGCCGCGGUAAUACGAAGGGUGCAAGCGUUACUCGGAAUUACUGGGCGUAAAGCGUGCGUAGGUGGUUGUUUAAGUCUGAUGUGAAAGCCCUGGGCUCAACCUGGGAAUGGCAUUGGAAACUGGGCAGCUAGAGUGCGGUAGAGGGUAGUGGAAUUCCCGGUGUAGCAGUGAAAUGCGUAGAGAUCGGGAGGAACAUCUGUGGCGAAGGCGACUGCCUGGACCAGCACUGACACUGAGGCACGAAAGCGUGGGGAGCAAACA
RNAcentral lists this ribosomal RNA (427 nucleotides) under uncultured bacterium. RNAcentral describes it as "bacterial SSU rRNA". It matches the Rfam family "Bacterial small subunit ribosomal RNA", at positions 355 to 774 of the family's 1533-position model. The record is from RNAcentral.